This 253-nucleotide ribosomal RNA is filed under the name uncultured bacterium. RNAcentral describes it as "partial 16S ribosomal RNA". It matches the Rfam family "Bacterial small subunit ribosomal RNA", at positions 524 to 776 of the family's 1533-position model. The record is from RNAcentral.
UACGUAGGUGGCAAGCGUUAUCCGGAAUUAUUGGGCGUAAAGCGCGCGCAGGUGGUUUCUUAAGUCUGAUGUGAAAGCCCACGGCUCAACCGUGGAGGGUCAUUGGAAACUGGGAGACUUGAGUGCAGAAGAGAAAAGUGGAAUUCCAUGUGUAGCGGUGAAAUGCGUAGAGAUAUGGAGGAACACCAGUGGCGAAGGCGACUUUCUGGUCUGUAACUGACACUGAGGCGCGAAAGCGUGGGGAGCGAACAGG